This 499-nucleotide ribosomal RNA is filed under the name uncultured bacterium. RNAcentral's name for it is "partial 16S ribosomal RNA". It matches the Rfam family "Bacterial small subunit ribosomal RNA", at positions 30 to 522 of the family's 1533-position model. The record is from RNAcentral.
AUUGAACGCUGGCGGAAUGCUUUACACAUGCAAGUCGAACGGCAGCACGGACUUCGGUCUGGUGGCGAGUGGCGAACGGGUGAGUAAUGUAUCGGAACGUGCCCAGUCGUGGGGGAUAACGUAGUGAAAAUUACGCUAAUACCGCAUACGAUCUAUGGAUGAAAGCGGGGGAUCGCAAGACCUCGCGCGAUUGGAGCGGCCGAUAUCAGAUUAGGUAGUUGGUGGGGUAAAGGCCCACCAAGCCAACGAUCUGUAGCUGGUCUGAGAGGACGACCAGCCACACUGGAACUGGGACACGGUCCAGAAUCCGACGGGAGGCAGCAGUGGGGAAUUUUGGACUAUGGGCGAAAGGCUGAUCCAGCCAUUCCGCGUGCAGGAUGAAGGCCCUCGGGUUGUAAACUGCUUUUGUACAGAACGAAAAGGUUUCUACUAAUACUAGGAGCUCAUGACGGUACUGUAAGAAUAAGCACCGGCUAACUACGUGCCAGCAGCCGCCUAA